GUAAGGUUCUGAACCAAUUAACAACUUGGCUGAUUUGUUACCCUUGCAGCCUGCACCAAAUAAUUCAAACAUCCAACAGGAAGCUACGCCACCUAUUGACAAAAGAGCUGCCACUACUCCAGAUUCUAAUGCAACUGAAGCUGCAUCAGUUCAGACUACACCAAAAAGUGCAUCCAUCCCAGAGGCAGCAAGGCAAGUGGAGAUACAUGCAACGAAAACACCAUCCUCUAAGGCCAAGAGAAGUCUUUCUCAAACCAACAAGAAUUAUAUUAGUUCACAUAACUUGAUGAAUGCUACUGUGAAACGUAUACGGACUAGAAGCCAGCAGGAUAUUUGAACUUGCUAAAUGGAUCAAUCGCACACUGAUGCCUUCCAUGAUCAACACAAAGAUAGUAUGCAUCAAUGUCAAACAAUGUUUCUUGGAUCCUACAUAAGACAGAUGUAGUUGUGUUGUUGACCCAACAGUAGCUAGCUAGCUAUCUAUGAACUAUUCUCAAUUCUGAAAUUGUACUGCAAUUUGGCACUUGGCAUUUUAUUAUCUACUCAUUAGCAGAGUUAAUGUUGGAUUCCUUUCA
Panicum virgatum (switchgrass) is the source of this 575-nucleotide long non-coding RNA. RefSeq lists it as uncharacterized. The transcript has 3 exons. Lineage: Eukaryota; Viridiplantae; Streptophyta; Magnoliopsida; Poales; Poaceae. The record is from RefSeq and is a predicted model, not a curated record.